Molecule: long non-coding RNA, 323 nt
Organism: Ictalurus punctatus (channel catfish)
Lineage: Eukaryota; Metazoa; Chordata; Actinopteri; Siluriformes; Ictaluridae
Source: Ensembl
CGCGGAUAUCUCAUCCCGGCACACCGCUAGCGCACGAUUUUGUUCCAGGACGAGACGUUCCCAAUCCGAGGCGCCCGCUGCCUCCAUAGUACGGCGAAGUAAUCUGUUACGAAGCGCUGACGGAGACAAGCGCGGGCGAGCGAAGAGAUGGCGUGUGACCGAACACAGGACGAGAAUCGACUCGGGACCGAGCAGGUGGUGGAACCCGACGGCCCCACGCUUCGAUGGAAGAUUGAGACGGUCAUGCGAUGAAAAGCCACAUCUCAGAGAAGCUGUACUCCCCACAGUGUGCAUGCGUGCUAGAAACUUAAUGCAUGUUCUCC